This 1345-nucleotide long non-coding RNA is filed under the name Sinocyclocheilus anshuiensis. Its description in RNAcentral is "lncRNA (ENSSANG00000039810.1)". The record is from RNAcentral. Lineage: Eukaryota; Metazoa; Chordata; Actinopteri; Cypriniformes; Cyprinidae.
UGAUUAUUAUCAAUGUUGAACACAGUUGUGCUGCACAAUAUUUUUGUGGAAACUGUGAUACAUUUUAUUUUUCAGGAUUCACAGAUGAAUAGAAAGUUCAGAACAACAGCAUUUAUUUGAAACAGAAAUCUGCUGUAACAUAUCUUCACUGCCACUUUUGAUCAAUUUAAUGCAUCCUUGAUUAAUACAAUUAUUAAUUUCUUUUAAAAUGUCGUACCAACUCCGAACUUCUGAUCAGAAGUGUAUCUGUUUGAUCUCAAAGCAGUUAACAUCGCUCGAUCACUGUGUGUCUGUAGAGAGUGUUUCUGCGGCUCUGAAGGAGGAUGAAGGCGUCUCUCCCGCUCUAGAGCGCCUCCUGCUGUCUGGUGAUCUGUACCGCAGAGUGUUUUCCUCUCACGCUCUGUCUGGGGUCACAGCGCCACCUAGAGGCCUCGGCUCUCUGCUGCAGCUCCUCAGCCGGUAUGACCUGAUCCCGCUCCACACGGAGCAGCAGAAGCCGGUCGAUGAGACACAGCUGAGCUAGAAGCCCAUUAACAUGGUGAGUGAAUCAUACACAGACUCACUGCAGCUGAUUUGAUUGGCUGACACACGCCUCUCUCGCUCUUCUCUGAUUGGUUACAGGGAGCCCAUCUGGCCUUGAUUGAUUCACUGAUGUCACUGAGCGCCAUGGAAACCGUGGGUCGGGUCAAGAUGGUGAAGGAGACGGAUCAGUUCGAGUCCAACAGGAGCUGGGAGAACUCACUGCUCUUCUGGAUCAACAAGGUCAAUCAGAAGUUGCGUGAAAGUGCUAAUGUUGAGGAUAAUCCGGAGUCAAACCCCUGCACAGACCUGCAGCCGGCUCAGCCAUCAAAGGACGGGGCUGGAGCAAAAAGGAAAUCAGCCGUCCUCUCUCCGCUGUGGCCUUCAACAUCCCAUUCCCACUGGACAGUGAUGUUGAUGUUGUUAUGGGCAAUCCUCUCUUUCGUUCCGUCAGCACGGACAGCCUCACCAUGGUAACCAGCCCCGGCCCUUACACACCCCCAGAGAAUCUGAGUAAGCUCAUUGGUCAAGCUCCUCUAGGAGAGUUACCUACCAUAGAAGAAGCAUUGCAAAUUAUUCAUACUGCCCGUCCGGUACACGAUGAGCCCCGGCUGCGGCCAGAGGGAGCUCCGUCUGGCUUUUACCUCCACUCCCCUGAGGUGGGUUAAGCCAGACUGAGCAGCUCUACCCCCUGCUGGUCAGGGAUGAUGUAUCGACCAAUUGGAGGAAGGCCUGAUAGCAGCAGAAACUGCAAACGACCACCUGUUGGUUCACAAGAAAUCCAUGGAGGUUUAGAGUGUGACACACCUGAAGACUCUCCCAAAAC